This 484-nucleotide ribosomal RNA is filed under the name uncultured bacterium. RNAcentral's name for it is "partial 16S ribosomal RNA". It matches the Rfam family "Bacterial small subunit ribosomal RNA", at positions 30 to 507 of the family's 1533-position model. The record is from RNAcentral.
AUUGAACGCUGGCGGCAGGCCUAACACAUGCAAGUCGAGCGGAUGAAGGGAGCUUGCUCCUGGAUUCAGCGGCGGACGGGUGAGUAAUGCCUAGGAAUCUGCCUGGUAGUGGGGGAUAACGUCCGGAAACGGGCGCUAAUACCGCAUACGUCCUGAGGGAGAAAGUGGGGGAUCUUCGGACCUCACGCUAUCAGAUGAGCCUAGGUCGGAUUAGCUAGUUGGUGGGGUAAAGGCCUACCAAGGCGACGAUCCGUAACUGGUCUGAGAGGAUGAUCAGUCACACUGGAACUGAGACACGGUCCAGACUCCUACGAGAGGCAGCAGUGGGGAAUAUUGGACAAUGGGCGAAAGCCUGAUCCAGCCAUGCCGCGUGUGUGAAGAAGGUCUUCGGAUUGUGAAGCACUUUAAGUUGGGAGGAAGGGCAGUAAGUUAAUACCUUGCUGUUUUGACGUUACCAACAGAAUAAGCACCGGCUAACUUCGUG